AUAUGGGGGGACCAUCCUCCAAGGCUAAAUACUCCUGACUGACCGAUAGUGAACCAGUACCGUGAGGGAAAGGCGAAAAGAACCCCGGCGAGGGGAGUGAAAAAGAACCUGAAACCGUGUACGUACAAGCAGUGGGAGCACCUUCGGGUGUGACUGCGUACCUUUUGUAUAAUGGGUCAGCGACUUAUAUUCUGUAGCAAGGUUAACCGUAUAGGGGAGCCGCAGGGAAACCGAGUCUUAACUGGGCGUUAAGUUGCAGGGUAUAGACCCGAAACCCGGUGAUCUAGCCA
This 290-nucleotide ribosomal RNA is filed under the name Klebsiella quasipneumoniae subsp. similipneumoniae. RNAcentral describes it as "partial 23S ribosomal RNA". It matches the Rfam family "Bacterial large subunit ribosomal RNA", at positions 442 to 736 of the family's 2925-position model. The record is from RNAcentral. Lineage: Bacteria; Pseudomonadati; Pseudomonadota; Gammaproteobacteria; Enterobacterales; Enterobacteriaceae.